This 801-nucleotide long non-coding RNA is filed under the name Heterocephalus glaber (naked mole-rat). RNAcentral's name for it is "lncRNA (ENSHGLG00000042872.1)". The record is from RNAcentral. Lineage: Eukaryota; Metazoa; Chordata; Mammalia; Rodentia; Bathyergidae.
CCCUCCCUUCCCCAUGUACCCAUCCAGAUGGUGUUCUGUGACAUCACAGCCCCUCUGCCCAUCCAGGGCUUUGAUUGGCUGUUGACUUGCUGACCAAAGAAAGCCCAAGGGCUUGGCCACCUCAGGGACAGGUAUAUAAGGGGGGGUCAGGCCCACACAGCGCAGACCACUGUGAGGAGCUCCCAGGAGAAGCAGGGCCAGGUAGCCAGCAGGGGGGAGCACAGGACCUAGGACCAGGCUGAGAAAGAAGAGAAGAGCAAUUUCAGUGCCUAAACUGAAGGGAAAGACAGUCUCUUCUGUGGCCUCCCUGUGUGCUUCAAGGUGCACAAGAAGUCAAGCAGGGCCAGGAGACCUGGUCCCUGGACAGGGAAGAUGCCAUCUCCCCAAGCAUCGCGGCCUGCUCCUGGACACCAAAGAUGAAGAAAGCCACAGCAGGGUUUGGUGGUCCUCAGCACCCACAGCGGGAUCAACCCCAGCAGGAUGCGCCAGGGCAGCAGCAGCUCCCUGAGCACUCGGAGAUGUCUAUCCCCAAGCGUGCUAGUCUGGAAACGCUCUACCAGGAGAGGCCAAAAGAGAAGCCCUGCCAAGCUGGGCCUCCACAGGUCAAUCCGAGGCCAUGGAGCCCCAGCCACUUGCAAGGGGAUGCGAGAGUGCCAGGCCAAGAGAGCUGGCCAAGAAACAUCACUGCCAUCUGAGAGAUAGCCAAAGGUCUGCCUGCCUCUGCCUCCACUGGGGUAGACCUGAAACUGUCCACCCACACUUACCCAUGAUGGGGGCAAGAAACUACCUCUUGGGGCCCUG